Molecule: ribosomal RNA, 254 nt
Filed under: uncultured bacterium
Lineage: Bacteria
Description: partial 16S ribosomal RNA
Rfam family: Bacterial small subunit ribosomal RNA
Source: RNAcentral
UACGAAGGGGGCUAGCGUUGCUCGGAAUCACUGGGCGUAAAGGGUGCGUAGGUGGAUAUUUAAGUCAGGGGUGAAAUCCUGGAGCUCAACUCCAGAACUGCCUUUGAUACUGAGGAUCUUGAGUUCGGGAGAGGUGAGUGGAACUGCGGGUGUAGAGGUGAAAUUCGUAGAUAUUCGCAAGAACACCAGUGGCGAAGGCGGCUCACUGGCCCGAUACUGAGCGCUGAGGCGCGAAAGCGUGGGGAGCAAACAGG